AGUUAAGACGCCGCGAGGGGCCCAGAGUCCCUCCCCUCGCUGGGCCCCGGUCCCGCCGGCGUCUAUAACGCCGUCGCAGCGGCCUUUAACCCCGCCUCUCACUCAAGCCCUGCCCGCGUCCAAGUCCCGCCCUCAAGGCGGCCUCAGCUACGACCGCCGCGCGCCUCCCUGGAGGCGCCCGCUCCUGCCCGGAGCCCCGCCCGUCUUGGGCCCGCCCUUCCGGGCCCUGCCGCGUUGAGUGGCGGAGUCGGGAUCCAGGUGGCCCGCCGGCCGGCUCAGUCCACCGCCCCGCUCCCGACCUCGCGCCCCACCCCUUGGAUGAGAAAACUGAAACUGAGAGGGGACGUGACUGAUCCAAGGCCUGGCCUUUCCAGCUCCGGAGCCCGCCACAAGAAGCUCCUAGCCCCACAUGAUGUGAAUGCAUUGGGCCCCAGCCAGGAAGUGGAGACCCGUGAAGGAAGGAAUAGCAGCACUCUCCCAGCCAGCAGCAGCAGUUUCCCUUCCUCUUUCCUUCCCUGCCUGUGUGGGCCGUUCCCCCAUAGCAGCUCUAAUUUGAGAUGCCAGAGCCUGACCCGGAAUGGGGGCCCAACUCAGUGUCCCCUUCUCGGACAGCACAGUGGUCCUUGCAGUCCAUGCGCCAUCUGUCUCUUUGCCUCAGUUCUCCCCUGUGCCAUGACCUCCCAUCAGGGCCGGCAUAGGGGGCAUCAGGAGAAUGGGUGCAGUUGUCACCUGGAAACCUCAAAAUUCUUGGGGCCCAGUCAUGGUCACUAUACAGCAGCCACCCCUGUCCCCAAACACUGAAGGUGAACCCCGUCCAUGCUCCCCAGGAGGCCAGGCUGCCAUCAGACCCAGCCUGCCCCAGGCCCAUGUACAGGGCCGUCCCAGGCCAGGAGGGUAGUGGACCAGCCUGUGGGUCCCUGCAGGCCUCUCAUCUGCUUGUGUGCCUGGGUGAGUCCAGGCUGGCUCUGGGCUCCAGGUGCUCCCCUGGAGGACCCAGAGGGGGCUUCCCCAGAGGGCCUCUUUUGCCCCAGUGGGAUGCAGCCUGACCCCAAUUCUUCUGCAUCCAUCACACUGUUAUGACGUCUAGUACUUACUUCUCUGGGUUUAUUUUGCACACACUCCUGCCCCUGAGUGAUGUCAGAGCCAUAAGGGUGGCGACGGAGUGGAAGGGGGACACAGUGGGGACUGCAGGGGCUCCAGGCACUGUCCACCUUCAGGGAACCUUGACCCCAGCCCCUUUUAGGAAAGGUAGCAUCCCACCUUCACAUCCACUCCUGCACCCUCAGGACUGCCCCUGGCCAUGUGAUGAACAGGGAAACUGAGGUUUGGAGCAUGAAGCCCCUUGCCCAAAGUCUAGCAGCCAGAUGUGGCCUCCCAAGUACAGGUCGCUGUUCCUCAGCCACCUGAGGGUUUGAAAAGGAUUUACUUAAAGGAACCCAAGCCUGCAUGCAGGGACUGAAAGCCCUGUGCCCUCUGGGAUGUGCCCUCCAACCCUAUGAGAUGGAAGGCCACGGCAGAAAGCAGGACAGCUGCUGGUGCAGCCAGGGGUGUACAGCCUGGAUGCCCACCACGGGGGCUGCAAGCAGGCACGGGCACCGCAUGGUCAAAGGGCAGAUCCUGGGCAUUCCCCCUCCCCCAGGCAUAGCACAUGCAUCCUCCCUCCGGGCUAGCUCUUGCCAGCUGUGGCUGCCUGGACCCCAAAUGGAAAGUGAGUUCUUGGGAAGGUGGAGGGGCCCCUUAGAAGGAGUGAAGUGAGGUGUGACAGGAAGCCCCGCCCUUGGACACUGUCAAAGAAAAAACAGAGCUGGACUGUGGUUACAGAUGUAGAAACAGAUUUUUAUUCGGGACUCUUGUGAUAGGGGAAGAGAGACAUCAGCAGAGAACUGGGCUCAAUUCCAAAUACAGCAAGGACACUUGGGACAGGAGGGGGCUUUGAGGAUGGAAAAUUAGGAAGAGGAAACAUCAGGGUGAAGGGGAUUCCGGCUGACAGAAUUCUUGCAAAGACAGCCUGGGCUUAUGAGACCUCACCCAGGGGAUGGUGGGGGUAAGGACCCUGAUUGGGUAUCAAGGGUGAUCAAGUAUCCAGGGUGGGGAGUUCUUGCCAAACUCAUUAGGAGGAUUCUUUGUUGAAACUGGAUUUUACAAGGAAGUUCACAGAUGGGCCAAGGAGAAAGUUCAGGACCCUGGCUAAAGUUUGUCAAGCACAGAAUCUUUGUCAACGUCACAGAAGCCAGAGCCCUGACACACACACACACCCACUCCUCUGAACGGCCUCCACCUUACUAUUUGCUUCUUUCAGAUUUUCUUGCCAUCACAUGCUUGAUCUCAUUAGAAAGCAGGCACAAUUUUAAAAUUAUACAGGCAAAGCUAAUUUCCACAGGGGUUCUUUGCACUGGGUUGGGUGGGGGCACUCCCCCUGGUUUUCAUAGGGCCAGCCAUUCCUCAGGCCUCUGCUCACCUGCACCCUGACCCUGUGGGCUCUGCCUUCCAAGCCCAGCCCUGCUCCCACCUCAGUGACCGCCAUCCCUGUUAUCUCUUGCCUGGAAGGUGGCAGCUGCCUUCUCACAUCUCACUGGUUCCCUGCCCCAUCCUUGUCCCCACGGCCCAGUACCCACAUAGUGGCCACAGGGGUCAUAACACUGAGUCUGACCAUCCUCCUCCCUCACCCCGGGCUCAUAGCCUUCCAGUUCCUCCAGCAGCCACCUCUGCCAUUUACAAAUCUUCAUGUGUGCUGUGACCACCCAGAAUGCUCUUCCCAGCUCCGUGUCUAGCAUCCUCACCCCCGCCUUGGAGUCUGGCCCUUCUGGACCACGUCACUCGCCACUGCACCCCACCCCCCGUCUCUGUUCUUCAGAGCGCUAGUCUUGCCCUAUGAUGGCUUCUCCACUGACCAUCAUCUGUGCUGCAGUGUUCACUCCACAAAGGCUGGCAUGCAGGAGGCACUUAAUGAAUGCACACAGAUAGUUCUAUUGAUGAUUAGGGUUAAGGAUAGGAGGGCAAGGACAGAUGCUAUAAAGAUGACAGGGUGGCCUCCCCGAGAGGCUGAUGCUGAAGACCGGGUGUUCCUAGGCCAGGGCAGGAGGCAUGAGGCCCCCAUGGGCUGUGGGAGACCUUCAUGGCUGAAGCUGACUGUAACCAGGCCAAGAGGUGAUGGUAGGUGAUGAAGGGCCUGAACACCGAGGAGCAAGGACAUUCUCCUCCCACAUUCUCACAUGGCCAGGGAGCAUCAUUUAUCCAUUCAGUCACUCAUUAAUUCGUUCAACAAAUAUCUCCUAAACAUAGGCCCAACCCAGAGCUGGAUCACAAGGAAGACUGGAAGCUCCACCCCGCCAUGGAGCUUCCCUGUUACCAGAGGACACAAACACACAUCUGCAUGUUGAUCUGAGAGCCCUGUGUGGAGAGGAACUAGGCCCCCAGCCAACAACCAGCAGUGACUCACUGUGAGAGAGUGAAUCAUCUUGGAAGUGAAUCCUAAGCCCCAAUAGAGACUUCAGAUGAGACUGCAACCCUGGCUGACAUCUGACUGCAGUGGCAUAAGAAACCCUAAGUCAGAAUCACCCUGCAAAGCCCAAAUUCUUGACCCACCAAGUGAAAGAGAAUAAAUGACGAUUGUUGUGUUUGAA
This is a long non-coding RNA of Pan troglodytes (chimpanzee), 3623 nucleotides long. RefSeq lists it as uncharacterized. The record is from RefSeq and is a predicted model, not a curated record. The transcript is spliced from 3 exons. Lineage: Eukaryota; Metazoa; Chordata; Mammalia; Primates; Hominidae.